Molecule: non-coding RNA, 149 nt
Organism: Caenorhabditis elegans
Lineage: Eukaryota; Metazoa; Nematoda; Chromadorea; Rhabditida; Rhabditidae
Source: Ensembl
UCUUCUAAAAUUUUGCUUUGAAUAAGGACCUUCGGAAAAUUUUUGCAAUAUGAUACAAACCCUUUUGCAGAAAUUUUUCAAUUGUUACCGAACCAUGCCAUUAAUUUGAAUUAAAAAAACGAACUAUUGUCAACUUUUUUUGAAUGUCA